Long non-coding RNA from Megalobrama amblycephala (Wuchang bream), 257 nucleotides. RefSeq lists it as uncharacterized. The record is from RefSeq and is a predicted model, not a curated record. NCBI's taxonomy places the organism in Eukaryota, Metazoa, Chordata, Actinopteri, Cypriniformes, Xenocyprididae. The transcript is spliced from 3 exons.
CACAAUGUAGUGGAAGAAGAAUACAUCAAAAGAGUUCAAGAAAACAAGACACAUCUCUUCUAACUAUCCAGCAGAAACACUCAGUUUGCUGUUCGGAGCAUAUUUCCUGAGAGUUCCAGUGUUCUCUGAGAAACGAUGGCGUUGUGGACUGUCUAUCUGUCUCUCGGUCUUCUGGUCGCUUUGAAUGCUUCAGUGGAAACAAGUUCUGUUGGACAUAUUUAUUGUGGCAGUAGGUCUUCUCUUGUCUUCAACUUGCC